GUGGGGAAUAUUGCACAAUGGGCGCAAGCCUGAUGCAGCGAUGCCGCGUGAGGGAAGAAGGUUUUCGGAUUGUAAACCUCUGUCAUCGGGGACGAAAAUGACGGUACCCGAGAAGGAAGCUCCGGCUAACUACGUGCCAGCAGCCGCGGUAAUACGUAGGGAGCAAGCGUUAUCCGGAAUUACUGGGUGUAAAGGGAGUGUAGGCGGGACUGCAAGUCAGAUGUGAAAUAUGCCGGCUCAACUGGCAGACUGCAUUUGAAACUGUGGUUCUUGAGUGAAGUAGAGGUAAGCGGAAUUCCUAGUGUAGCGGUGAAAUGCGUAGAUAUUAGGAGGAACAUCAGUGGCGAAGGCGGCUUACUGGGCUUUAACUGACGCUGAGGCUCGAAAGCGUGGGGAGCAAACAGG
Molecule: ribosomal RNA, 405 nt
Filed under: uncultured rumen bacterium
Lineage: Bacteria
Description: bacterial SSU rRNA
Rfam family: Bacterial small subunit ribosomal RNA
Source: RNAcentral